AUGGCUAUCAGCGGCACUGAGGGUCUGGACAGCCAUCUGCAUGAACUUCUUCAGUUAUUCCGGUUGAAGCGCUUCAAGGAAGUCCAAGAGUUGACAUUCUUGAUGGAGAGUCUUGACAAGGAUGCAUCAAACCAAAGGAAGAGCACAGCAACUUUGCAGGGACUGCCAUGGUACAGGAAGGAAAAUCCUUUUACAUUGAUGAAGAGAUGUGAGCCAACAGAUCCUGGGGAGGACUUCAUCAAAGGAAUGGUGAUUGGAAUCAUUUUGGUUGUUGAAGAUGUGAAAGAGCCCCUUCCAGUUUCCUACAAUGAUGUUGCCAUUAUCAUUGAGGAAAAGAUUUUCAUGCGUCAUCUUGGUGAUGUACCCAACACUUUUGUGAACCUGAUGGGCCUGCUAUACAUGCUGAACCUUAACUGUCCAAAAGAGAUGAAAUAUACUUUUGAGGUGAUUCAGCACCUGUUCAUGAGAAUCGGGUCUGAGAUGUGCACUCCCAGGGUCCACUCUCUAAAGAAUAAACUGCCAUGAGCGAGUUUUCAAAUUUUCUUGCAAUUUGUCCAUUAUGUAGUAAGAGGAAAUAAAUGUAAAGCCUUUCUGUGGGUCACAACAGUUUAUGUUUUUAUGUUCUAACAGAUGUCUAUUGCUCUCUGUGGAGGAAAUGUCUCUUGCAGACAAUAAUUUGUAUUUUAUGUUGUAGAGCAAACAUGAACAGAGUGGAGAUUUCUGUAAUGUUUGAACGUGUUUAUUUUCUGGCUGACAUUUGAGCAAGUUACUCAGAGAUACAUUAUUUGUCUUUCUGCAGUUUACUGCAGCAACUCUGAACAUCCACAACAAUGGACUCAGUUGGAUUCGGAGAGUUAUUUAUUUUCCCCAAAGGAAGGCUGCACUUAUUUUUCUGUAUUAUAUUAUUAUUUGUGGAACAUUGUAAUUUCAGUUAGUAAGCAGCCCCAAGCAAAAGUGUGUUACGCCACACCUUGUAUUUCUCACGCAGAGACAUUACGAGGAUAACGCAACACAGAUUCAGACGCUCGCUGAAGUAUGUAACGUAAUGGUUACAGAAGAGGACAGCGGCUGUCACAUUUUAAAUGAUUUACAUUCACAGUAAGUCAUCUCACAUGUGCCCCCCCCCCCCAUUUUUUGUCACUUCUUUGUCAACUCCAUUGAUUUGCCAAGACAAUGACCCCGAUUUUCACUAUAUUAUUAUUAUUAUUUUUUUUUAUCAAAAUAAGAAUUUAAAGUUAAAACAGUCUAAGAUCUUUUUUGGUCUGAUGGUUAUUAUGACCUCGACACUAAUGCAAUUUUGGCCAUCGUACGUGGUCAGCCGUAGCUUUUGCGCCUGUUAUUAGCCCACUAUUAUUUUUUUAUAGCUAACAUUACACGUUGAAGAGGAUGCGGGGCUACUCUGCAGUUCUAUAUAAUAGACUUCUAUUAACCAGCAACCAACACCUACAAUAAACAACACUGACCAUUUUCUUUCUCUCUCUCUCUCUCUCUCACACACACACACACACACACACACACACACACACACACACACACACACACACACACACACACACACAAACAAACAAACAAACACAAACAAAUAAAUGCUGAAUUAAAUAAAUAUUAUUUUAUUUGUAAUAUGUGUCAUUUAUGAGAUCAGACACCCGUCCCCAUCAAACCCCUGCCGCCAUCGCGGCCACUGCCAAAAUCUCACUCUGAACUCAGUUCAAAACUUGAGAGCCCUGGAGAGUGUAAAGGCAACAUUUUGAACAUUUCCCAAGAAAGGUCUUUUUUUGAUGUGUCAAUUUAAAGCAAGGCUGGUUGAAGUUGGACUUGUUGGGGUUUUAAUAAAGGUCCUUAUUGAAUUGGAUUUCAUCUUACAUCUUUCAUCUCUUACAUUUUAUAUAAAUUUAUGUAGAUUUUUUGUAGAUAUUAGUUUGCUUACAUUUUUGAAUAUUUCAUUACAUUUUUUUUUCAAUUUCUGUAAACUC
This 1973-nucleotide long non-coding RNA is filed under the name Carassius auratus (goldfish). RNAcentral's name for it is "lncRNA (ENSCARG00000052809.1)". Lineage: Eukaryota; Metazoa; Chordata; Actinopteri; Cypriniformes; Cyprinidae. The record is from RNAcentral.